AUACUUACCUGGCAGGGAUGGUACCAUGAUCACGAAGGUGGUUUUCCCAGGGCGAGUCUUACCCUUUGCGCUCCACAUGUAGGAAACUCGACUGCAUAAUUUGUGGUAGUGAGGGACUGUGUUCACACUCUCCCCUA
Camelus dromedarius (Arabian camel) is the source of this 137-nucleotide small nuclear RNA. Its record names the gene U1. It matches the Rfam family "U1 spliceosomal RNA". Rfam says of the family: U1 is a small nuclear RNA (snRNA) component of the spliceosome (involved in pre-mRNA splicing). The record is from Ensembl. Lineage: Eukaryota; Metazoa; Chordata; Mammalia; Artiodactyla; Camelidae.